This is a long non-coding RNA of Ctenopharyngodon idella (grass carp), 1779 nucleotides long. RefSeq lists it as uncharacterized. The transcript has 2 exons. Lineage: Eukaryota; Metazoa; Chordata; Actinopteri; Cypriniformes; Xenocyprididae. The record is from RefSeq and is a predicted model, not a curated record.
UUGAAUCGAAUCUGUCGACUUUAGCAAUCACGUGACGGCCAACAGGAGGGACUCUGACUGCGUGUCUUCUUCAGGACAAGAGUUUCCCUGAAUCCAUCGAAGUGGGUCGUGAAAUUUCCUGCAAGAUCAUGGACCGACUUGCGAGUGUAAUUGGACAACAACAUACAGGUCUGACGGUGGGAUUGAGUUUGAUGAUCAUCGUUGUGAUUAUCGUCCUCGCGGCUGUUGUUUACACUCCACCCGGCGCCACAGCGCGCUGCUUGAGAAGAAACAGGAGUGAAGAAAUCCUCUCCCUGACUGCUAACAGAAUUUCAUGACUGCUAACAGAAAAAAUAUGAACUUUAUGGAUCUUUGUGUUGGACUCACAACAUAGAAUAAACUGUUAAACCAUUAAUAGGGGGACUGUGAACACUGUUUACCCCUUUAAAUAGUGGUUUAUUAAAGGAUUAGUUCACUUUCAAAUGAAAAUUACCCCAAGCUUUACUCACCCUCAAGCCAUCCUAGGUGUAUAUGACUUUCUUCUUUCUGAUGAACACAAUCGUAGAAAUAUUAAUAAAUAUCCUGACUCAUCCGAGCUUUAUGCGUUACCAAACGAGUAUGAACUGAAGAAAGUGUCUCCAUCCAUCAUAAACAUAUUCCACACGGCUCUGGAGGGUUAAUAAAGGCCUUCUGAAGCGAAGCGAUGCGUUUGUGUAAAAAAAAAAUCCAUAUUUAACAAGUUAUAAAGUAAAAUAUGUAGCUUCUGCCAGACCGCCUUCCGUAUUCUUCAAAAAAAGCUUACGCUGUAUGUCCUACGCCUUCCCUAUUCAAAUUACGGAAAAAAACGGAAUUAUAAAGCUCGAAUGAGUCAGGAUAUUUAUUAAUAUUUCUACGAUUGUGUUCAUCAGAAGGAAGAAAGCCAUAUACACCUAGGAUGGCUUGAGAGUGAGUAAAGCUUCUGGAUAUUUAAUUUGAAAGUGAACUAAUCCUUUAAAAAUGACUUCCAAACAAAUCCAUUUCCAAACACAUGAAAGUUUAAUAACAUGUUAAAUGUCAUGGAAAUUUCUUUUACACAAAUAAGUAUCAUGGUAUAAAUCUCUAAAUUCUGGUACCUGCAUACAAAUGGAAAUCCUCCUCUGCAAUCUCUGUAAAAUGGUUAUAUUAAAAUUACAUAGGCAAUAAUCAGGAACAAACAGAAACAGCCUAACGUUACAUAGGCCAGAAAACAAUGGGACUGACAUGUAGACCUUUCUAUGCGUUCUUCAAUUGUCACGAAUUUCUAUUCAAUAUUAGAGACUUUUACAUUCUUUAUCAUGUGGAUUUAAUGUUUAUACAAGAACACAAACUCAAUUACACUCAAGAACUCUUAUCUGUUUAAUGACAGGACUUUACACAGGCUGCAAUUCCAGUAGAUAACCACUAGAAGGACUAGUGCUCUGUGGAAAAUAUGAGAGUCUCCAUGUAGGCCUAUCCCCAUAAGUGCUACAGCAUUUAUUCUUUUUCAUUUAAAGGUAACUAAUGAUUUUGAGAUAUUUGCAAUUGAUUUUUAAAUAGCUUCAUGGUAUAACUAAACAUACUUGUGAUGUUUCAUAUACCAUUGCAUCAGAAAUAGUGCUAUUAAUUUUUUCAUUUGCUUUCACAUGGUGAACGCUGAUUAUUAUGCAGGUCAUUCUGACAUAUAAGACAUCUCAAAUCAUUUUAAACAUGAUUUAAUACUAAGAAUCACAAAAAUAAUGGGUGCUCAAUGCUACUCCAGUAAGAAUAUGUCCACUGCAUCAGAAUUAAAGUGGUUCAGCUUCA